AUACGUAGGUGGCAAGCGUUGUCCGGAUUUACUGGGCGUAAAGAGUAUGUAGGCGGAUAUUUAAGUCAGAUGUGAAAUUCCCGGGCUUAACCUGGGAGCUACAUUUGAUACUGGAUAUCUAGAGUGCGGGAGAGGAAAGUGGAAUUCCUAGUGUAGCGGUGAAAUGCGUAGAGAUUACCGGAAGAACACCAGUGGCGAAGGCGACUUUCUGGACCGUAACUGACGCUGAGAUACGAAAGCGUGGGGAGC
Molecule: ribosomal RNA, 249 nt
Filed under: uncultured bacterium
Lineage: Bacteria
Description: partial 16S ribosomal RNA
Rfam family: Bacterial small subunit ribosomal RNA
Source: RNAcentral